GCAUUGGUGGUAUAGUGGUGAGCACAGCUGCCCUCCAAGCAGUUGACCUGGGUUCCAUUCCUAGGCAAUGCA
RNAcentral lists this transfer RNA (72 nucleotides) under Chrysemys picta bellii (western painted turtle). Its description in RNAcentral is "tRNA-Gly (TCC) (tRNA-Gly-TCC-18-1)". It matches the Rfam family "tRNA". From Rfam's summary of the family: Transfer RNA (tRNA) molecules are approximately 80 nucleotides in length. Their secondary structure includes four short double-helical elements and three loops (D, anti-codon, and T loops). The record is from Rfam by way of RNAcentral. Lineage: Eukaryota; Metazoa; Chordata; Testudines; Emydidae.